UUGCAUCCUUGUUUUAUAGGCCUUUGCCCAGUUUGAUGCUGAGGGUGAUGGUACUGUUGAUGCUGAGAACAUGUUGGAGGCCCUCAAGAAUUCCAGUGGAGCUAAUCUUCAGGGGGAGCUAAGCCACGUCAUCAGACAGCUACAAGCCUGCUCUCUUGUUCCAGGUUUUAUAGACAUAUUUUCAGAGUCAAAAGAAGGCCUUGGUGUUCACUCAUCAAUGAUACUUCGCUUCCUGCAUCGCAAUCGGAUCUCUAGCAUGGUAAUUCCCUACCCGAUGUUGGACCACUGCAAUAACAUGUGCACCAUGCGGUCUUCGGUUCUAAAGGAGUCUCUGGAUCAACUGGUACAAAAAGAAAAGGAAAGCCCUGGAGAUCUUACCAGAAGCCCAGAGAUGGAUAAACUCAAAUCAGUAACAAAGUGCUAUGCUUAUAUAGAAACAUCCUCCAACCCUGCUGACAUCGACAAGAUGACAAAUGGAGAAACAUCAUCCUACUGGCAGUCAGAUGGCAGUGCCCGUUCACACUGGAUUCGCUUAAAAAUGAAGCCAGAUGUUGUGCUUAGGCACCUGUCCAUUGCAGUUGCUGCCACUGACCAGAGUUAUAUGCCACAGCAGGUGACAGUAGCUGUGGGGAGGAGUGCCGGCGAUCUUCAGGAAGUUCGAGAUGUGCACAUCCCUAGCAAUGUCACUGGCUAUGUGACACUGCUGGAAAACGCCAAUAUCAGUCAGCUCUAUGUCCAGAUUAACAUAAAGCGUUGUCUUAGCGAUGGAUGUGACACUAGGAUUCAUGGUCUGAGGGCUGUUGGCUUUCAGAGAGUUAAGAAGUCUGGGGUCUCAGUCUCAGAUGCUUCGGCAAUAUGGUAUUGGUCUCUGCUGACAUCUCUGGUAACGGCUUCUAUGGAGACAAAUCCCGCCUUUGUCCAGACAGUGCUGCACAAUACUCAGAAGGCACUACAGCACAUGCCUCCACUUUCCCUCUCACCAGGAUCUACAGAUUUCUCCACUUUCCUGUCUCCCAAUGUCCUGGAAGAAGUGGACAGCUUCCUCAUAAGAAUAACUAGCUGCUGUUCUACCCCAGAGGUGGAACUGACUCUUCUGGCUUUUGCACUAGCAAGAGGAAGUGUUGCCAAAGUGAUGAGCUCUCUGUGUACCAUCACUGACCACCUGGACACAGGGUAUGAUGCCUCGUCCCUCAUCUCAUCCAUGGCAUCAGUCAGACAGAACCUGCUCCUCAAAUACGGUAAACCUCUCCAGUUGACUCUUCAGGCUUGUGAUGUCAAAGGAAAAGAAGACAAGUCAGGACCUGAAAACCUACUUGUGGAACCGUGGACAAGGGAUGGUUUUCUUACAGAGACUGGAAAAACCAGAGCAAGUACUAUUUUUUCUGCAGGAACUGAGUCUGCCUUCCAAGUUACACAAAUCAGAAUCAUGGUUCGACGUGGCGGCAUUGGUGCCCAGUGUGGCCUGGUUUUUGCCUAUAACUCACCUUCUGAUAAAUUUCAUGCAGAGGAACACUUUAAGCGGUUUGAAAAAUAUGACAAAUGGAAGCUUCAGGAGCUCAGGCAAUUUGUAAAAAGCAGGAUUGGUUGCUCAUCUGAUGACCUGGGAGAGGAUGAUCCUAUUGGCUGGUUUGAGCUGGAAGAAGAGUGGGAUGAAGCAGAUGUCAAAUUGCAGCAGUGCAGAGUUGCCAAAUAUUUGAUGGUGAAGUUCCUCUGCACCCGUCAGGAGUCGGCAGAGCGCUUGGGAGUGCAAGGCUUGAGCAUCAGUGGGUACCUCCGGCCUGCAAGAGCAGAGGCAGAGCAAAACAUCCUCUGUGCCCACUGCAGAAAGGACACAGAGAGUGUCUGUGGGGCCACCCUGCUCCUCAGGACUCUUCAGUUCAUCCAGCAACUCGCCCAUGACCUGGUACAGCAGAAGGAAAGUGGCCUAAAAUAUAAAUCUUUUCUGGACUUUACGGGUCUUGAUUUGCAGAUCUUCUGGAAUUUUUACAGUAAACUAAAGCAAAACCCAAGGGAAGAGUGCAUAUGUGCCCAAACCUUGCUGCUGCGCCUCCUCCAGAGUUGCUUCUCAGUGCUGCAGGGAGAGGCACUGGCUGCCUCUGGGGAAGAAAAGCCUCCAACCCAGCGCCCUGAGGGAGUGGAGGCUGCCAAGGAGCUCUACAUACACUUAUGUGAUGUGGUAGAUAGGGUGGAUGGAGAUUCCAUGCCCAUGGAGAUAUUAAAACAAGAGGUCAGGAACACCCUUCUCAAUGGAGCUGCCAUCUUCUUUCCUGAUCGACAGACCCGACGGAACCAUCUCUUCACCAUGAUGAAGAAUGUCACUGAGCAAGAGCACAAGCAGUCCCUGCAGCUCACUUUCCGUUCACUAUGCACAUAUUUUAGUGAUAAGGAUCCAGGCGGCCUUCUACUUUUACCUGAGAAAAGUGACCUGGCUGACAUGAACAUCAGUGAAGUCCUGGCAGUCAUGAACACCCUCCUCUCUGUUGCUGCUCGAGAGUGUGAGCUGUUGAUGCUCAGUGGGACCCAAGGGGAGGCUGGCUCUGUGCUCCUCUCCCUCUUCUGGUCUGUCCAAGGCAGCCUGCUCUCCUGGUGCUAUCUGCAGCUAAAGGCAACUGACACAGCAGCCAAAGGCCUGGCCGUGGACCUUAUCGAAAAAUGUUCUUUAUUAGAGUUCAGAUCUAUGCUGGGUGCAGUGAUGCACACCUAUAAUCCCAGCUACUUGGGAAGCUAAGCCAGGAGAAUUACAAGUUUGAAGCCAGCUUCAGAAAUUUGGCAAGACCCUCAGCACCUUAGUGAGACCCUGUCUCAAGAUUAGAAAUAAAAGGGGCUGGGGAUGUUGCUCGGUGGUAGAACUCUACUGGAUUCAAUCCCCAGUGCCACAAGAACAAAAAACACAAAAUAAAACCAAAAAACUGAAUAGGGUAACUUUUGCCCUCUUAAAAUAGAAUUCUAUAGUAUGUCUUUUUGCUCAGAAUUUCCUAUUUGAAUGUGGUAUAUGUCUUAGUAUUUUUUUUUGAGGAAUUGGGUCAUUCCAUAACCUGACAUUCUCUCUUCAGUCACACAGCACUCUUAGAUGAUGUCUCACUUGUCAGGAUAGUCUGUCAUCCAUGGCUUAAUCAAGUCAUCUAAAAAAGAGUUUUGAGCUUUUAGCAUCCAAGGUGUAUGAAUACUGCUGUGACCUCUGCCAGUCCUGAAGUAUUCAAAUUCAUGUCCUGUAAACCCACAGAAAAUUAUAUGAAACUAACAAGUUCUGAGAAAUUGGGUGGGAAAAAUUUGGUUUCAUCAAACUUGCCCUGAGUUAUGGGGAGUUCCACAUCCUGGGGCUUUGGAGGAAAAGCUGUAGGAUGUUCAACCCCCACAUUGGGCUCUGGAGUUAUGGGGAGUUGCACUUCCACAGGUUUAAAUGCGAGGCUGGGUACUGUUGAAUAAUGAACUUGAUUCUCAGUUAGGACCUGUGGCUGAGUUGAAGUUUCUUGUGUUGGAAUCAUUCCUUCUUGAUACUUUGGAAGCAAAGUUGAGGUUUUCUGCAUGGUUGGAAAAACAAAUACGGGGACCGUUGGAAGAGAUAUAGAGAACGUUCCAAUAGCUAUAGGGAACGAUGAAAGAGCUACAGGCUUCUUCUUCGCCCUAGAACGUUUAGUGGGUUUUGGAGUCGAGGUGAGUUCCAGGUCCAAAGGUUGAAAUGUAACACUGGGUGAUGUUAAAUCCUGAGCUUGAUUCUGACUUAGGACCUCAGUUGAAGUUUCCAUCUGAGUUGUGGUUGCUUGUUGGGCUGAAGAAAAUCCAAAGUUUUCAGGGAAUCCUGGAGACUGGGAAGGGGCAUUCGACUGGGUUGGAUAAAAUGUAACUUGCUGGGUGGAAACUGGCUCAACUUCUUUAGUGGCUUCUGAAGGUACAGUAACUAUCAGAGCCACAUGUUGAACUGUGGUUUUAGGCAAAUGUGAAGACCCACUUCUGAACAUUACUUCCGGAUCUUGAGGUGAAAAUGACAUGGAAUCACUGAAGGAAGCAAUAGUCGGGACAAAUGUGGAUUCUGGAGGUUUAGUUGGGAGUGUUUCCUGGACUGGUGGAAGUUCAACACUCACGGGGGGCGUUGAGGGCAGAGAUGAGCUCUCCUGCUGACUUGAUAAAGAUUCCUCAGGCAGCUCUUCAAGCUGACUGGGGACCUCUUGAUCAAUUGGAGGUUGUUCCUCCUCUAGAGGGGGGCUUGGCUGAGGUUCCAACUGCUCAGGGGACACUGAGGACUCAUCUAGGGUCUCCUGUUGCGCUGAAGUUUCAACCUCACUAUUCAAUUCUGGAGUAGGAGACUCAGCUUGAUCAGAACCUAGAGAAGAACCUGUCACAUCCUCACCUUCUGGAGAUUGACCUACAUCGUUAGGGAGCUCUGGAGGCACAGUUGGGGCUUCAGGCUGGGAUGCAGAAGGUCCUGACUCAUUAGUUGGAAUUGAGGGAGGAACUAUAGCCUCACCAUUGAUCAUAGAAGUUCCCACCUCUGUAGUGGGUUCAGGUGUUAUAGUCAUUAGUACAUCUGCAGGUUCACCGGUCACACUGGGCAAGUCUAGAGAUUGCACCGGUACUUCCAGCUGGCUUUCAGAAGACUGGUCCUCCCCAGGAGACUCAGAAGGCUCAGUUGGGGUCUCUUGCUCACUGAGAGAAGGUUCAGUCUCCACAGGAGGGCCCGGAGGCUGAGCUGGGGUCUCUUGCUGGGUCAGAGAAGGUUCUACCUCCUCCACAUACUCUGGAGGCUGAACUGGGGCCUCCUGAACUGGAGCCUCCUGAACUGGAGCCUCUGGCUGAACUGGGGCCUCCUGAACUGGAGCCUCUGGCUGAACUGGGGCCUCCUGAACUGGAGCCUCCUGAACUGGGGCCUCUGGCUGAACUGGGGCCUCUGGCUGAACUGGGGCCUCCUGCUGGGCUAGAGAAGAUUCGGCCUCCUUGGUAGGUUCCGAAGUUAUGGUAAUUUCCACGUCUGCAGGCCUACCUGUAACACUGGGCAAGUUAUAAUAAUGAACUUGAUCCUGACCUAGAGAUGGAACUACAGGUAGAGUUGGUAGAGUUUCAGCUAUAUUCUCCAUAGGGGACUUGGGAGCUUGAACUGGAGUCUCUUGCUCAGCUAAAGAGGGUUCAGAGAGCUCUGAAGUCUGAGCUGGAGCCUCUUUUUGGGUUGAUGAAGGUUCUACUACUUCAAGACCCUCUGAAGGCUGGGUUGGGGCCUGCUCCUGGCCUGAAGGAAGGUGAAUCUCUUUAUCUGCCUGCGGAGUUACGGUAACCAGAUCUGCAGGUUUACUUGUGACAACCGGCUGAGUGUCACUUCUUAGAGAUGAAAGCUUAUGAUGCAUUGAUGCUUCACCUCCUAGAGCCUCCUGGUCCUCAGGAACUUCUUGCUGGGACGAAGAGGACUGGAGCUCCUCAGGAGUCUCUUGGGCCUCCACAGAAGGUUCAACCUGGUCAGGAGUUUCUGGAGACUCCUCUGAGUUCUCCUGGGAUUCCGGAGGUAGGUUGCCAGAAGAAGCUACAUCUGUACUUGGAUACACAUAAUCAUCCUGCAAGUUGUUCUGAAGCUGAAGUUUUGCAAAUUGCUUUGGAGUUCCACCAACAACUUUAGCAAAUCUCGGAUGCUGAGCUACAUCCUUCUUCAGAUUCAGUGGUGAAACAAUAAACUUUGCUGCUUUUGCACUCUGACUAUCUAGAGGUGGAACAAGUACUUCAAAUGACUGGUGAUCUGUAGACUGAUGCAGAUUGACAGUAUGAAUCUUACUUUUGAGUCGAGCAUUGGAACCAAUUCUGGGAGCCUCUCUUUCGGAAUUAGUUUGUCUUGAUGCAGCAAACUGAUCUUGAACAGCAAACUGAUCCAUCUCUGGGGCCGGCUCUCCAGGUGAAACCCUGCCCAAGAAUGGAAGCAAACUGUCAGUUAACUUCCGUGGUGAGUCCAACAUCUGGGAGCGAGCAGAGGACCCCAGGUCAUCAAAGACUCCCAGGUCUGCCGGGGGUGUAAGCGCAUGGGGCGAUAAGGGUGGGAGUUCAGAGGAGAGCAGAGACCAGGGCUUGAUAGGCCCUGGGUGCUCAGCGGUCAGCUGGAGAGGGUCCUGGGGCGACUCCAGAGGCUGAGCUGCCUGGACCAGCAGCCACAAUGGUUGCCACGUGAGGAGAAGCCCUGGUGCCCAGAGGCGCAGCAGGGACAUGACGUGCGGAGGCUUCGGGGCACAGCGACCUAGGCCAAUGGGGCGCGGGGCGCGCCUGUGGGAGCCUAACCGUUAUGGCAGCCCCUUGAGGCGCGCGCCUGGGAAACCUCAGUGGCCCCGCCCCACCCUUUAUUCAUGACACCUUGAUUAUGACACCUUUAUUAGGCUCAACCUUUAUUAGGCUCGCUCAGACCGGGAGCCUUUUCCCACAAUCAACCAACCCAAGCUUCCCUUCCCCAAGCAGGGGCCACAAUCGACCCCCACAGGCCCCCUCCCCUACAUCGAAGCAGGAUCUGGGCCCUAGAUGUGGGUGGCACCAGGACUCUAGCAGCCCAUUGGGUGGGGGGCGGCAGAGAUUCCCAAGGAAGUCACAGGACUGAGCCUCUGGGGAUAUUCAGUAGUGCUAGUCCAGUUCUGGCGGCCUGAAUUCUUCCUCUUCCAGGCUGAAAUCCCAGAGAUAUUCUUCCUCCCCUUGGCUAUACUGCUUCCAAGAGAAGCAAGUGACCUGUAAAACGAGGGCCAGUUAGGUUAACAGGCAGACUACACAUUAAGGUUAUUUAUUCCAAAAUGUUGCCAUUUGCUCUAAACUCUCUAUCCUAUUUCAUGUUUGAUAAUUAAUUCAUCACUCUGUUAGGCUGGGGCUACCAUUGAAAUCAGUGAUGACUCCGAAAUUUCUGUAGGAGGGGUUUUAGGCAGUGGGCAAUUCAGUCUGAGAAAGGGGUGUGAAUCCGUGUGGACAGCCCUUUACACUGGCAUGGGAAAACAUCUCCUUCCCACCUUGGCUCAGGUAGGCGUGACAACACCACUUUUUUAAAGGUGACUCUUGUGCACAUAUCUAGAGAAGGCAGGAUGUUAAAGCCUGCAACUUAAAUAGUUUUCUUGAAACACUACUAAGACUAGAACCCAAAUGACUUUUUUUUCAGAGCCCUUAUAGUAAUCUGUUUUAUUACUUAUUACCUGACACAACCCUAGUGCAUAAAGAUGUGUCAUCUUCUUAUUCCCAGUGCCUUGCAUAUGGCUGAGCACAUAGUAAUGGUUUUCAAAGUCACCUCCUUAAGGGGUGGAUCUGCUCUUAUAAUGGGAUUUCUACAGUCAGUGUGGAUUUACUUCCUUUCACAUUUCACAGGAAGUGAGACUUCUUAAACUUAAGUUUCCUUAACUGGUUUUAUUUAAAUUGAACUAAAACUUUUACAUGGAAAUAACUUAAAAUACUGUUUCAGAAUGCAACCCACUUCCUCUGCCUUUUCAAAAUAAAACACCCCACAUUUUUGAAGAGAAUCAUAUAAUUGAAAAUCUCCAAAUUAAUCCCCCCGCCCCCCGCAUAAAACAUAUUUUUGUGCCUCCCCCAAAUAUCUUAUACAUAGUAAAUAAU
Molecule: RNA transcript, 7551 nt
Organism: Marmota monax (woodchuck)
Lineage: Eukaryota; Metazoa; Chordata; Mammalia; Rodentia; Sciuridae
Gene name: zinc finger ZZ-type and EF-hand domain-containing protein 1
Exons: 20
Source: RefSeq, a predicted model, not a curated record